CAAUAGCGUAUAUUAAAGCUGUUGCGGUUAAAAAGCUCGUAGUUGGAUUUCUGUCAAGGACAACUGGCCCGCCCUCCGGGUGAGCACAUAGUUUGGUCUUGGCAUCUUGCUGGAAACUGUUGCUGCGCUUGGUUGUGUGGUGCAGCUUUCAGCACUUUCACUUUGAGGAAAUUGGAGUGUUUCAAGCAGGCACAUGCCUUUGGACACAGUAGCAUGGAAUAAUUAGAUUGGGCUUUUGCUCCAACUUGUUGGUUCCUGGAGCUGAGGUGAGAAUCAAUGGGGAUUGUUGGGGGCAUCCGAAUUUAGCCGUCAGAGGUGAAAUUCUUGGAUCUGCUAAAGACGGACAACUGCGAAAGCGUUUGCCCAGGAUGUUUUCAUUGA
This 381-nucleotide ribosomal RNA is filed under the name uncultured eukaryote. RNAcentral describes it as "partial 18S ribosomal RNA". It matches the Rfam family "Eukaryotic small subunit ribosomal RNA", at positions 592 to 976 of the family's 1831-position model. The record is from RNAcentral.